GUUGUAUGCCUAACUCAAGUAGUUACUGCGGAUGAACUCAAAGAUGAUGAGGAGUAUGAAGACAUCUUGGAAGACAUGAGGAUGGAAGGAGGGAAAUUUGGUACGUUGGUGAAUGUUGUUAUUCCACGCCCAAAGCCAGAUUGUGAAGCUUCAUCAGGAGUUGGGAAGGUGUUCUUGGACUAUGCUGAUGUUGAAGGAGCUACAAAAGCCCGAGCAGGAA
This 220-nucleotide unclassified non-coding RNA is filed under the name Hevea brasiliensis (rubber tree). The record is from RNAcentral. Lineage: Eukaryota; Viridiplantae; Streptophyta; Magnoliopsida; Malpighiales; Euphorbiaceae.